CCGGUUCGUUAAGCAUUCAACUUAAAACAAAUUUAUAAUACAAAUAAGAAAUUUGGCUCAGGAUUUUAUCUACCGAUUCUAUCGAAACCUCUUGCUGGUUCAUAGAGUGGGAGCACCGUAGAGUUUUUGAACAAACAGAACCAUGCAUGGACAAAGCCUGGAAUUUUGUCAGGAAUGCGAAAUGAAAUAUAUUAUUAUGAAUGCUAAAAUGCAAUUUCAACAUUAACUUAUAUUUUCUAGUUUUUAAAAGGAUUGAAUCGGGAAAAUUUUCUAUUUUGGGGUGAUGAGAAGCAUAGCACUUACCUGCCCUUGGUGUCGCCCCUGGAACUAUGAAAAACUGAAUAAUUUGUGCAUAGCUUGACUCGGCCUGGGAAGCACGCUACCACUUAAGCUCUCUCCUGAAUUGUUUUAAAUGCUAUUGUAAAUUCAGGGGGACAUACAAUUGGACAAGC
This 452-nucleotide long non-coding RNA is filed under the name Gossypium barbadense (sea-island cotton). RNAcentral describes it as "long non-coding RNA (GBAR_LNC022116)". Lineage: Eukaryota; Viridiplantae; Streptophyta; Magnoliopsida; Malvales; Malvaceae. The record is from RNAcentral.